Molecule: long non-coding RNA, 1285 nt
Organism: Pezoporus occidentalis (night parrot)
Lineage: Eukaryota; Metazoa; Chordata; Aves; Psittaciformes; Psittacidae
Exons: 3
Source: RefSeq, a predicted model, not a curated record
UUAGAACUGCUGUGAGACCUCCUUCUGGUUCAUCUCUCUUCUAUCCCUGUUUCUUCCUCCCAUCAAGAGCAAAAUGGCUUCCUCUGUUUAGUAGUGAUGAUGAGCAACCCUGAAGAGCAACAUCUUGAGGAAAUGACUUCUGUUGUUGGACCCAACUUCUAUACAAGCCGGUGUCUCUGUCGUCAGACAGCAGUGGGAGAUUGGUGAUAAGGACAUAAAGAACAAGGCACAGGCCUCUGUGGGUCUGUGCCUAAGGUGCUGACCCAAGAUCACUCAGACAAUUUUGGGCAGAGCAGAGAAGUGACCAUGCUGCAUUGCCAGGUCAUCUCUAUGUGCUGCUCUGAGACCAGAGUAUGGACCUGUGGAAGUCUUGCUUCCUGGCAGGACAUCUUCCUUCCUCCAUCUGGGGUCACAAGGCUAUUGUUUUGCAUAAAGGACUCUGCAGCCGGCAGGUAAGGGCUGCCCCAGAUGCUAAACCUUGUCUGGUUUAGUGCUGCAGCGUUUGUCUCUGGUUGCCUUAAGGUAAUCCUGUGUUCUGCUCCAGUGUUGCUAUCACAUCUCUUUGUGGCGGAAGUGCUUGUGGUGUCCUGAGUGCUGGACUGUGGCCUCAGAGGAUGAUGAAGGAAGAGGAGGAGGCUGGCUACAAAGGAGAAGCCUUGCUCUGUGCAGGGCCUGUAAAACCUUUGGCAAAUGCCACCACCAGGAAGAGCAUCAUGGGAGGAAGGGCACGGCUGUUUUAAUGAAUCUUAUGAAUGUGUUCUUUACCUAUGUGUGCAUUCAUUUUUCUAGUCUCAUAGAGUGCAGAACUAAACUUUGAACAAAAAUAGCUAUCUACUUACAUAACAUUCUUGCUUGUAAAGCUCCACUGCUGAAGCUCUCCAGAGGCUCCUGGAGCAGAGAACUGUCAAUCACAUCAAAGCCAUGACUCGGGUGCAUACGCACAUCUUGGUAACGUAAAGUCAAGAUUUGCAGUGUUUACAUAGGAUGCUCUGUACAAGGCGUGUGAUGGCAAACACAAAGCAGCAUCUGAGCUCUGCUGACACAAAGAUGAGGUAGGGCAUUGGCAACAGUGGAGAGAUGCACAUGGGGCAGGGCUUCCCCUUUCUUCCCCCUCUCCGUGGCUGCACAGGGGGUAGGAAGGAUGAAGGAAGGGUUUUCAUUCUAUGGGUUGCUGGUUUUCAUUUUGCUUAGGUCUUCCUGAACAGGAGGCAGUCCAAAUGCAGAGCCCGUGCUCUCUGUUGCCUUACGGUGGGAGCUGCUGGUCAUCUGAUACAGCUCAGUUUUA